CCUACGGGUGGCUGCAGUAGGGAAUCUUCCACAAUGGACGAAAGUCUGAUGGAGCAACGCCGCGUGAGUGAAGAAGGGUUUCGGCUCGUAAAGCUCUGUUGGUAGUGAAGAAAGAGAGAGGAAGUAACUAGCCUUUAUUUGACGGUAAUUACUUAGAAAGUCCCGGCUAACUACGUGCCAGCAGCCGCGGUAAUACGUAGGUGGCAAGCGUUGUCCGGAUUUGUUGGGCGGAAAGCGAGUGCAGGCGGUUCAAUAAGUCUGCAGUGAAAGCCUGCGGCUCAACCGGAGAAUUGCAUCAGAAACUGUUGAACUUGAGUGCAUAAGAGGAGAGUGGAACUCCAUGUGUAGCGGUGGAAUGCGUAGAUAUAUGGAAGAACACCAGUGGCGAAGGCGGCUCUCUGGUCUGUAACUGACGCUGAGGCUCGAAAGCAUGGGUAGCGAACAGGAUUAGAUACCCGGGUAGUC
Molecule: ribosomal RNA, 465 nt
Filed under: uncultured bacterium
Lineage: Bacteria
Description: partial 16S ribosomal RNA
Rfam family: Bacterial small subunit ribosomal RNA
Source: RNAcentral